GACGAACGCUGGCGGCGUGCUUAACACAUGCAAGUCGAACGGAAAGGCCCUGCUUUUGUGGGGUGCUCGUGUGGCGAACGGGUGAGUAACACGUGAGUAACCUGCCCUUGACUUUGGGAUAACUUCAGGGAACUGGGGCUAAUACCGGGUAGGAGCUCCUGCUGCAUGGGGGGGGUUGGAAAGUUUCGGCGGUGGGGGAUGGACUCGCGGCUUAUCAGCUUGUUGGUGGGGUAGUGGCUUACCAAGGCUUUGACGGGUAGCCGGCCUGAGAGGGUGACCGGCCACCUUGGGACUGAGAUACGGCCCAGACUCCUACGGGAGGCAGCAGUGGGGAAUAUUGCACAAUGGGCGGAAGCCUGAUGCAGCAACGCCGCGUGCGGGAUGACGGCCUUCGGGUUGUAAACCGCUUUCGCCUGUGACGAAGCGUGAGUGACGGUAAUGGGUAAAGAAGCACCGGCUAACUACGUG
Molecule: ribosomal RNA, 468 nt
Filed under: uncultured bacterium
Lineage: Bacteria
Description: partial 16S ribosomal RNA
Rfam family: Bacterial small subunit ribosomal RNA
Source: RNAcentral